This 301-nucleotide ribosomal RNA is filed under the name uncultured bacterium. RNAcentral's name for it is "partial 16S ribosomal RNA". It matches the Rfam family "Bacterial small subunit ribosomal RNA", at positions 509 to 807 of the family's 1533-position model. The record is from RNAcentral.
CAGCCGCCACGGUAAUACGAAGGGUGCAAGCGUUAAUCGGAAUUACUGGGCGUAAAGCGUGCGUAGGCGGUGAGUUAAGUCUGCUGUGAAAUCCCCGGGCUCAACCUGGGAAUGGCAGUGGAUACUGGCUCGCUAGAGUGUGUCAGAGGAUGGUGGAAUUCCCGGUGCAGCGGUGAAAUGCGUAGAGAUCGGGAGGAACAUCAGUGGCGAAGGCGGCCAUCUGGGACAACACUGACGCUGAGGCACGAAAGCGUGGGGAGCAAACAGGAUUAGAUACCCCCGUAGUCCCUGUCUCUUAUAC